RNAcentral lists this ribosomal RNA (468 nucleotides) under uncultured bacterium. Its description in RNAcentral is "partial 16S ribosomal RNA". It matches the Rfam family "Bacterial small subunit ribosomal RNA", at positions 28 to 507 of the family's 1533-position model. The record is from RNAcentral.
GACGAACGCUGGCGGCGUGCUUAACACAUGCAAGUCGAACGGAAAGGCCCUGCUUUUGUGGGGUGCUCGAGUGGCGAACGGGUGAGUAACACGUGAGUAACCUGCCCUUGACUUUGGGAUAACUUCAGGAAACUGGGGCUAAUACCGGAUAGGAGCCCCUGCUGCAGGGGGGGGUUUGGAAAGUUUCGGCGGUUGGGGAUGGACUCGCGGCUUAUCAGCUUGUUGGUGGGGUAGUGGCUUACCAAGGCUUUGACGGGUAGCCGGCCUGAGAGGGUGACCGGCCACAUUGGGACUGAGAUACGGCCCAGACUCCUACGGGAGGCAGCAGUGGGGAAUAUUGCACAAUGGGCGGAAGCCUGAUGCAGCAACGCCGCGUGCGGGAUGACGGCCUUCGGGUUGUAAACCGCUUUCGCCUGUGACGAAGCGUGAGUGACGGUAAUGGGUAAAGAAGCACCGGCUAACUACGUG